Molecule: long non-coding RNA, 3210 nt
Filed under: Triticum aestivum (bread wheat)
Lineage: Eukaryota; Viridiplantae; Streptophyta; Magnoliopsida; Poales; Poaceae
Description: long non-coding RNA (TAES_LNC004269)
Source: RNAcentral
AUGGCCUUGAGAUAAUGCAUGCUGCUUUAUUCAUAGAGAGACGGUGCCGUUGAUUUUAUUCAUAGGAAACUGAACCAAAACAGUGGUUGCUACUAGUGUUUGGAAAUUAUAAUUACUAGAACUCUUAUUUCUCACCCUUUUAAUUGCUGGCUAAUUCUUGUAAAAAGUAGUGGUUAAUCUUGCUAAUUACUUUGAUGUGAUGCCUAGGUGGUCACUCCAGCUCCUGCAACCAACACAGGUCGUUGCCCCCUUUGCCACAACGGCAGGAGCACAAAUACGAGUGUGGUCGUCCUCAACCAGUUCCUUCACGCGGCCUUCACGCAACCCCUGCUCAUGUAUGCUUACACCAAAAGUACAACUCUUGUUACUCUCCUCGUACUUGCUCUUGCUUAUUUUCUAAGCAAUAAUUCCUAUUGCUUCCUCUUGGGGAAAGGGAUCCCAUGUUGAAGCCUUGGUGCUCACCCGCUGUUUAUAUUCAUCACCAUAGUGUACGAAACAUAUGAAAACCAUUCUGGCUUCGGGAGAAAAUAUAACCAGUACAUGUGCAAUUGCGUGAGAAGUUCCCUUAUGAAAGUUCCUUGUAAACAAACCACAUGAAAGUUCGUCAAGAAAAACUUUGUAAGUUCAAAAUGGCUAUAGGAAAACUUUGUAGGUUCAGAUGGGUAUAGAAAACUUUGUAAGUUCAAAAUGGGCACGCCUAAUAGUGCGUGAAUAAAAUUUUUAAACCCAACAAAGUCCAUGUUGGUCGGUCUACAGUGUGUUGUCAAGAAGGUUGUUGGCCUUGGAGGCCGACACUAGCUGAUCAUCUACCUUCCAAUUAUAUUAGGCAUAUACCACUGAAACUGCAGGUCGCGCCCUCCUCCCACCGUAGGUGGUGCCCUCCUCCCGCAUAGCCUAUUGGUUGGUGUACCGUGACCCCUCCUCAUAUUUUUGGUAUGAAUUUGAUGAAUCUUCUUGAUGCUCUGUUCUUAUUCAUCUAGAGAUUCCUCCUCAUAUUGAUUGUUUGUAUUGCUCUGUUCUUGUCAUUUUGUAAAUUAGAAAACAGUAGUCAGUAUUUUUUUAUAAAAAAGUUUACCGCAUAAAAAAUGCAACAGUAGUUCAACACAAUAUCAAGGAGGGUGUGAGUUGGGUAUGGUUACAGACGAAAGAUAUGUGUUGAAAAGUUCACUUCGUCUACAUACGUAAGUUCAAAAAAUUGUCAUAGAGCUAGUUUAAAAAAUUGUCAAAAGGCAAAAUGGUUGUGCUAGUUCAAUUUUUUCAGUCCAUCUUCUGUAUGCUAUUCAGUACAUCUAAUUCCAAAUCGUAAGUACAAUUGCCUUUAUGUUUUCCAUCUUCAUAUAACACAAAAUAGGCACUGGAGGAUAAGGUGAGAAUAUAUACUAAUGAAAUGCUUGGUGGCGUUGUCCAUGUUUUGAAUUUAAACCACUAGCUUUUUUAUACACGAGCGCCUGUCCUGGGAGAGCCCUAUAUUGCCAUGAGCACUACUGCUACAAACUUUAAUCCCCCAUUGUCCGGCCCUAUAUUUUAUCCUCGGUUCUUAGAAAAGCAUGGAAACAAUUCUCUGUGUGUUAGAGUAUCAGUUCAUGUGGAGAAGAACAUGUUUCCUAUAUGAAAAAAAUAAUAUAUUAUUAUCAGUUCAAUAUGUAUUUUGUCAUUAGUUCAUACAGAACAACCGUAAAAAAUAUUUUGAUGUGUGUUAGAGAGAGAUCAACUUUAUAUUAUAUGGUAGCUCACUCAUUGCAUGAUUGCACAGCAGUUUGGCAUCAAAAUUCACAUCAGUUUAGGGGUGCCCGCAUCACGGUCUCACCGUGCUACCGCAAUCUCUCCUUGAUACGCCACCGGACGAGCCCCUCCUCACACUUUGGCAAGCUGUCACUUGCUCCUGUGCCUGGAUCCCAUGUGAGCGCUGAUGGUAGUCCUCUGUGUGCGUCAAUGGCACUUUCUCACAGCAAUCUCCCUCUCUUUCUUUGCUCCUGCUAUUAAAAUGCAUAGAUGUGGUAUUCUGCUAACUGAGUAGUUGGGAAGAUGUGAAAAGAACAUGCUCUUUAGGUGUUUGUGACUAUUCCUGUGAGCACCAAUGAAUUUAAAUUUUUAUUUUGUGCUUCCGUGUAUGUUUUUGGGCAGCACAAGUACAUCGUCAUAGUAAGUACAAAUGCGGUCUUAUGGAACUCUGAUAGUUGUUGGAUGCUAUUCCAAAUGCCAAUCAUGCAAAACGGUUGUUGCUAGAAUCUAGAUGAUAUUUAAUGUAGAUACCAUAGUUUCACCGUAUUUUUUGGUUCUAAAUAUUUCUGCAUACCUCUUUAAAAGAAUGUUCCGUUUGUGAUCAUUUCUUGUAGGUAUUCAUGUGGACUUUAAAUAAUGACUAUUCUUGUAUGAGGUUUGAAGAUUAUCGUGGAGCAAGUUCAAGAGAUUAGUUUCGUGAAAAUAAAUGUGAUCUUUUGGUCAGGAUUUUGCAUGAUCCAUAGCCAUCGAUGGCAACAGGAGGCGUCCUGCGUGAGUCGUCCAUCGUCUUCUAUGCGUGAGCUUGUUGUCUCUACACAUCUAGCAUCAGAGUAUCGCCUCCCCUUGCCACACACACAUGCGGUGUGGUCGAGCUAGUGUUGUUUGUGAUACUGCUCGUGACUCUUGCGUCGUCAUUGGACAAAGAAUUUGUUCUGUGACUAUGUAUUUGCAGGACCUUUAGCAAAUAUUGUUGUGUUCUGAGUAUUCUGAUGUGGGCCAAAUGGUGAGCAUUUAAACAUCAGUCUGAAUUAACAAAACUGAUAAGUUCUACUUUCAAUAAACUGAUGAACCUAGAUGCAACAAAGCUCUGCCAUUAGCCGUGGGGAUUAUCAGUUCAUGUGUAUUGUGUUCUUUUUGUCGGUUAAUGUAUUUCUUGUUUGUCAGGUCAUGUGCAAGUUUGUUAUCAGUUCAUGUGUAUGUGUAUUGGUGAUCUAUGCUAUUGCUGCUAGCUAUCGAUCAGACUGGUAUUACUUUGGCAGCUCCAUGUAAUUAGCCCCUUUGUUGGGUGAAUCUCCUACUACUUGCUAGCUUUGGAAUUGUAAAAACACAAUAAGUUCACAAUUUAAAAAGGUGUAAGUUCAACACGACGUCCUAGAUAAGUUUUAGGAAAAAGUUGAAACACAAAGAAAACCCAAAGAAAUUCAAAUGGUAACGUUCAAGUCGUGGGAUGAAAGAAGUCCAGAACAACGUUGAAAAUGUUAAGAGUUG